CAAGCAAACUUUAAUAAAUCCAAGCAUCCCUUUCGUAAAUCCAAGCAAACUUUUCGUAAAUCUAAACAACAUUUUCCUAGGUGCCCUCGAAUUAGCCCGGGAGAUCGUAUUGAUUACAGAAACAUGAGUUUAUUUAAUAGACUAGUGAAAAAGGAAAAAUAUUAUCAAGACGAAUAA
Molecule: ribosomal RNA, 177 nt
Filed under: Triticum aestivum (bread wheat)
Lineage: Eukaryota; Viridiplantae; Streptophyta; Magnoliopsida; Poales; Poaceae
Description: partial small subunit ribosomal RNA
Source: RNAcentral